Molecule: ribosomal RNA, 528 nt
Filed under: Pseudomonas oryzihabitans
Lineage: Bacteria; Pseudomonadati; Pseudomonadota; Gammaproteobacteria; Pseudomonadales; Pseudomonadaceae
Description: bacterial SSU rRNA
Rfam family: Bacterial small subunit ribosomal RNA
Source: RNAcentral
CGGAUUAGCUAGUUGGUAGGGUAAAGGCCUACCAAGGCGACGAUCCGUAACUGGUCUGAGAGGAUGAUCAGUCACACUGGAACUGAGACACGGUCCAGACUCCUACGGGAGGCAGCAGUGGGGAAUAUUGGACAAUGGGCGAAAGCCUGAUCCAGCCAUGCCGCGUGUGUGAAGAAGGCCCUCGGGUCGUAAAGCACUUUAAGUUGGGAGGAAGGGCUUACAGCGAAUACCUGUGAGUUUUGACGUUACCGACAGAAUAAGCACCGGCUAACUUCGUGCCAGCAGCCGCGGUAAUACGAAGGGUGCAAGCGUUAAUCGGAAUUACUGGGCGUAAAGCGCGCGUAGGUGGCUUGAUAAGUUGGAUGUGAAAUCCCCGGGCUCAACCUGGGAACUGCAUCCAAAACUGUCUGGCUAGAGUGCGGUAGAGGGUAGUGGAAUUUCCAGUGUAGCGGUGAAAUGCGUAGAUAUUGGAAGGAACACCAGUGGCGAAGGCGACUACCUGGACUGACACUGACACUGAGGUGCGAA